AAAGAAAUCAAAGACAGAUAUUUUAAGCUUAUUAUAUGUCUUUGUUUUCUUCGAAGUGCUUCAUAUGUUACUUCAUAAACAUUAACAAUUCAUUCAGCAAACAGCAUUUGUACGCACCAAAUUGAAACUAACAUCAAGCCUGUCUUUUCCCUAUUUAACAGGUUAUUUCCUUCUCUCUUUAAGAUUUCAUCAUUAACUAGCAAAUAUUAGGAAUGAAGAUUCUCAAGGAUGAAACCUUGUUAUCUGAUAUUAUAUGAAAACCAUUAUGUUCACAUUACUAAAAUAAAUAAGGAAUGAUCGUGGACAUUUAAGCUAAAUUUCUAGUUCUGUCCAUCUGACAGAAGUAAAAUUUUCUCAUGGUUACAUAUUCUUCCCUAUAACAUAUUUUAUUUGCAAUUCUUCACUGUGUUACUAAAAUGAACUGUUUUGGGUAGAGUAAAUGUAACAGAGCUAAACCAUUCUAAAAUGUGGUUCCAUUUUCUCUAAUCUUCUCCUUUAAGGUUUUUGCUAGUUUGUCUCUUUAUUUCUACUGGAAUUUCUCCAGAAACAAAAUGCAUUCCUCACAAGCCAAAUAUUGAAUUCAGCCAGGUCACAAUAUCGAAAGACAAUUUUCAUCAUGCUAAAGAAAUGAGGAGAAUUUAUUAUGUCGGCAUGCUAAAUCUGAACAUGCUCCAGUAUGUCAUUCAGAAAAAUCUACUUGAUAUUGCAGGAAUAAAGUCCAGGGACACUCUCAAAAGAAGCUCUUGCAAUGCAAAUCAAAAUAAAUGGCAAGUUUACGGGCUUAUUAACUCGGACUCAUAGCAAGUUUUGGUUCACAACCCAGUUAAUUUUAUUUGCUCCAUAAAAAACAUAAUCAUUAUAACGAUAGUAGUGGAUGGUGUCAUCAUGUCAUGCAAACAAUAAAGCAAGGUUUUCAAACACAGUAUUGGGUAUUGCAUGGGCCCUCAACUUUGGUGAUCUUCAAAAUCUGUAUCGGCAACUUUAUGGGGUAAAAACAAAAUCUAAAAUUUUUAAAAAAGACAUAAAAUUAUGUAAAAUGAGAAGUGCCUGGUUCUCUAACCCCAAUCGCCGAUAGCAUAUCCUGGGUCACAGACAGCACUGGGUAAAUCCCACAGAUUCGAGCCAAUGCCCAAGGCAGGUUCCCUACCAAAACCCAUCUGGAUCAGCAAUUUUUAAAACCUUGUAAUAAAGCAACCUGGAAAUCCAGUACCAGGGAUUAGUGGACUUUUAAGGAAAGGGUCCUCCUCUAUUUAUUAGGCCCAAUAGAUUUUUUAUUACUACUUUUGCAGAGGUGAAAUCCCUAAUAGCUUUGAAGUUUUGUGCUCAAAGGGUAUACACCCCAGCCAUAGCCAAAACGUUAUUAGAUUGGCUAUAGGGGUAACUACUCCCCCAUGGCGCAUGGCUAUGAUUUUUGACAAGAUCACAAAUUCAAGACCCUCGUGUAUCCUUUCUUUCCAACUUGCCUUGAAGCAACCAAAGACAUAGUUGACGCAUUAGCUUAUGAGGGCAUCGUGUGCGAUGGCCUUUUAGUUGCAUCAACUUUUCUUAACCAUUGAGAUGCUGCUUUGGCAUUUCUUUGGUGCUCUCAGGAUCGAUAUUUUGUACUUUACCAAUAUCCAAAAAAACAAAAAGAAGAAGAUAAAAGCAACUGCAAAAGAUAAUAAAGUAUACCUACUUUUCUCUUGUGUAUGUUAACAGAACUUGAGUUUUAUUAACAGAUGAAGACUUCCAAUGCAUGCUAUAUAUAGAAAACUUUAUGGUUAUAUUGAGGGAUUUCUGCCAGAAAGAAAUAAUCAGGAAAUGAUGCUUGCUACAAAUUUUUUUAAAGAAAAGAAAUUUAGUUACUAACUGCACCAAAGUUACUUGCUGCUCUAUAAAAUACGCAAACAUUUUCUCGCUUGUAUGCAGUUCGUCUGAAAAUAACAUUUAUUGCAUCUCACAGUAUACAGUACGAUCCAUUUAACCAAAUUUAAAAAGUACUAUAAAAAAACACUUAAAACAAUCACAAAAUGGUCAAAGCAACCUAUUAAAUUUCAGCAUCUAGAUAUAAAGAGAAUUUAGUUGUGGAACCAAUAGGUGAUAAUAUGAGGGAAAGUAGACUUAGGUGGGUUUGCUAUGUGUGUUGUAGACCUAGUACAAAUACUUGAUUAGGAGGUGCGAGUUAGUUCAGGUAGAAGGCUCAAAAAGGUAAAAGGUAUGCCCAAAAAGACAUGGUUGGAAGUAGUGAGAAAAGAUAUGAGACUGAUGGCUUCACUGAGGGUAUGGCCCUAAUAAGCAGAAUGACAAACCAGGAUUCAUGUAGACGACACUAAUUAGUUAGGCAAAAGGCUCUGACGAUGAUGAUGCAAAUAAAAUAUCCACGAAAGGAAAUUUAUCAACCUGCUUGAGGUCAUCCUAAAAUCCCUCGCCUCAACAUAUGAUAAGAAAAUCCCAUAUCAUAAUCGUUGAAAAUUCAUUACUGCAAGACAUAUUGAAAUUGCGAUAUUUCACAAUCAGUGCAUAAUGAUAAUCUAUCCCUAUGAGGACAUUUUGGUCUACUCGACCAUUGCGAUAUGGUUGUGCAAGUCUAUGACUAAACCAGCCACUAAAGUUUCACUUUCACCGUUUCAGUGUACAUUUACUUGGAAAAAUAUAUGCUCUAGAUCAUUUAAGAAUAUUGAAGAUAUAGAUGACCAAGUAAUACAAUGACGAACCUCUAAGCCAUUGAUAGGCAUGAGCCUCAUGCCAUUGACUGGUUGAAGCAAGUUGUUAAAAUGGGGCAAUUUUUUCUAUCGAGUACUGAGGACCCAAAAAUCCAUCAACCUAACAAUUCCAGCAUACUCCUAAUGGUCAAUCCAUGUAAAGCUAAGAGCUAGGACCACUGGCACAAGUUUAUCUGCAAAAUCAAAAUGCUUCCCCUUCCUAUACAUGUCCUCGUGGUAGAACCUAAGUUACCUAACAACUCCAAAAUUAACUCAAUAGUACAAUUGGCCUUCCUGUUGUGAACAAUCAAGUUUUUUGUUUAUUUUUCUUUCAUUUAAGCCCCUGAGGACAUUUUUGUCAUUUCCCUUUCUUAAGGGGCAUUUUUGUGCUUUUGUAUUUUUGUUAUUAAAUAAAAGGGUUCAAUCCCAUUGUCGAGGGCACCUAGCAUGCCUAAAGGAAGUAGAAAACUGAAAGCAAGUUAUAGCUUCUCAACCACUCCUUAAAAUGAGUCCAAAGAGCAUACUCAAUAGAGAGAGAACAAGCGUAAGAACCUAGAUUCAAGGAGAUCAAACAAGUGUUGGGUUUUUGUGGCAUUUAAAGGCCUAGAGAGCUUAUAAAAAUGAUAUUUAUAGUGGAAUAGCACUUCAAUGGGAGUGCAUGUGUUGACUGAUUAAGGGUUGAGCGUUUUAUGGCCCUAGUCAUGUCCAAAUUGGCCUUGGGCAUGUGGCAUUACUGAGAAGAAUUUGCAGAGGGUCAUCUCUUGUUGAAGUCAAAGAGAUACCCAGGGAUCAUAUUUGUAGUACAGGAAAACUGUGUGGUCUCCUUUGUGCUGUUGCAGGCCUGUGAGAGCAAGGGCCAAAACCUCACAAACUUUUGCACGGCAUGUACACAUGACAACUGCAUUACUGGGAAGCAGCUCUUUUAGAGGAACACGUAUACAUGUGCAUAGGGAGUGCCCCUUUUGCACUGUGGUCAUAAAUGCUAGCCUUGUUCUUAAAAGGGGGAACUGAAAUCCAUAUUCCAGGAUCAUGGUCCCACUGUUUAUUAUCCAACUUAGACGUGCCAAUCAUGAGCCUUUGCUUUGAGACUGUGGGUCAUAAGUCUUUGUUGGAUUGAAUAAGAAAUAGUAUUGGAUCAAGGUUUCUGGGCGAGUGGAGUGCACUUAGUGUUGCUAAUUUUUGACCUAUUGGUACUACUCCACUCUUAGUAUAUUUUAUUUUGAUAUUAUAGAUGUUUCCAUGAUUUUUUAGAUAUUUUUCAGAAUUUUAAAAUAUCAUUUCUGCUGUAUUUUUCAUAAAAAGGUAUUUCUGAAAUUUCAUAACUUUAUAUAGCACAUGUGGGGCCUGCCCCCACAUGUGUGUGCGACCCAUGUGAGGCCCACAUGACCUCACAGGUAGCACGCUACUUUUUAUGCUGAGAGGCACGCCAAUUUUCUAGCAAAAAUAUGGCCCGCCACUUUUUAAGCUAAGGGUUUUGGACUAAGACCAUAAACCGCCCAACUCUUAGUCAAUACACACUCUCCCACUAAAGUGCAUAUUCCACGAUAAAUAUCAUUUUUGCAAGCUCUUUGGGCCUUUAAAGGUCAUAAAAACCCAACAUCUCCCACUUGGCCUUUGAAAGCCAUACAAUCAUUCCCUUUCAAUUUCUCUCAAGCCCAUCCCAUGUACAUGUCUGGUAAAAACAUUCGCUACCAAUCCUUUUAUCAAAGGAUCUGCUAACAUAAUCUCUGUCAGGAGAUGUGCAAUCAGAAUCUCUCAUGCUCGGAUCUCGUUGUGAAUGUGGUAGUAGCAUGGGAAACCUUGGCCUUUUGACACACAAAUAGUUGCCUGGUUGUCAAAGAAGAUUCUGACACACGGGCACUUCACUGGAUCAAAUAUGAGUUAAUUCAGGAACUUCUGCAACCAGAUUGCUUCUUUAGCCACGAAACAACAUGCCACAUACUCUGACUCCACAGACGAGAGUGCAACAAUAUCGUGUUUCUUUGAGCACUAAGAAAUAGCUCCACUUGCAAGUAUGAAGACAUAUCCAGAUGUGGACUUACUUUAAUCUGGAUCGCCCUAAUAGUCCGCAUCUGAAUAUCCUUGUGGCUGUAUAUCCGAGCCUCCCCCAUAAGCAAGUGCGUAAUUAAUCCUUCACCCUUCAAAUAUCACAAUACUCUUUUGAUGACUUUCCAGCGCUCCAUGCCUAAAUGAGUCUAAAACCUUCUAAUCAAACUCAUGGCAAAAGAUAAAUCUAGUAUUAUCCUUGGCAUAGCAUACAUUAGUGAACCAACUGCACUUAUGUAUUGAAUUCUCUGCAUUGCUUCAUUUUCUCCAGAAGUAGUGGGACACAUGGCUAAGCUAAGCUUGAUCUUCUUAUCAAUGGGGGUUAAUAUGGGCCAAUAAUUUUCUAUUUCAAAUCUUUCAAGAAUUUUCUUACAAUAUGUCUCUUGAGUUUGGGUAAUUUUGAUUCCCAAAAUAUAUUGUGACAAGAAAGCUUUUGUCUCCAAUACGAGACUCAUUGAACUAUGGGCAAUUAACAUGUCAUCCACAUAUAGAGAGAUGAAAACCACUUCACUCCCACUGACCUUGACAUAUAUACAGUAGUCCUCUUUGUUUGGCACAAAACUAGCAGAAGACAAGGUCCCCUAAAACUUAAUGUACCACUGCCUUGAUGCUUGUUUAAGGCCAUAAAGAGACUUAUUUAGUUUACACAUUAGGUUUUCCUUUCCCUUUUCUAUGAAGCCCUCUAGUUGCUUUAUAUAAUUUUUUUCUUCUAACUGUCCAUGCAAAAAUACAGUCUUAACAUCCAUCAGAUGGAGUUCGAAGUCGAAAUGGACUGUUAUAGCUAUUAGGAUUCUAAUGGAAGGGAAUUUUGCUACAAGGGAGAAGGUUUCAUCAUAAUCUAUUCCUUCUUUUCGGGUAAAGCCUUUAGCAAUUAAUCUGGCUUUGUAUUUCUCCAACUUCCUUUCUAAGUUUAAUUUUUUCUUAUAAAUCGACUUGCAGCCUGGUUUCACUAGUCCCCAAACAUUGUUUAGUUUGAUCGAGUUAAGUUCAUCAAUCAUGGCUUCUUUCCAUUGUGUCUUUUCAUGAUAGGUUAUGGCUUCUUGGUAGGAAUAGGGUGGAUUCUUCUUCAAUUCUCUCAUAAUAUUCUCCUAAGUAGGUGAAGAACUCAGGUUUUCUCCUAAUUCGAUUACUUCUCCUAGGACGAGGUGGUUCGUGAUCCAUGGCUUGACUUGUUUCAUUUUCUAUCUCAUAAAACUUGGCUCAUUUCAAAGUGGCACGAUCCUCGAGAAAUUCUUCCUCAAGGAAAUGACCGUCCCUACUCUCAAGGACAACCCUUGUGUCAGGGCUAUAAAAACGGUAUCCUUUACCGUGUGGUAGGUAUCAUAUGAAGAUGGACUUAACAGUUUUUGUCAUAACAACUUCUCCUCAAAAUCUAGGGAGAGCUUAGCAUGUCCCAUCAUACUCCUCACCAUUUCUAUCAGCGUCUUAUGCUGUCUCUAAGCUACCCCAUUUUGCUAAGGAGUGUACGACAUAAUAUACUAAUGUUCAAUAUCAUGCUCAGUACAUAAUUCUUUAAAUAGUCAUGAGGAAUAUUCUCAACCCCUAUUCGAUCUAAAGACUUAACUUUCUAGUUUGUUUGGGUUUCUACCUCGGCUUUAUACUCUUUGAACCGGUUUAGGGCUUCAGACUUUUCAUUUAUCAAAUAGACACGACCAAAACGGGAGUGAUCAUCUAUAAAUUACGAACCUUAGUGGCCACAUUCAUAGUCCCACAAAUAUCACUAUGGACAACCUCUAAUAUGUCAGUAGCUCUCUGAGCAUUCGCAAAAGAUUUCUUAACCAGCUUUCCUUGAACACAUGAUUCACAGACUCUGGUUGAGUCUCCAUUUAGAUUACUUAACAAUCCCUAUCUUUUUAAUCUCUCCAUCUUUUCAGGAUUAUGUGCCCAACUCUCAUGUGCCAUAUAUCCACAUUAUCAUUGUCAUCAUUAUAACAUGAGACAUAAGAAAUGGAUUCCUUUAUUGCAACUGAAAAGAAACCACUACAAGAUGACCAUUCAUGACUAAUUCAUCUCCAUAUUUCACCUCCACCUUAUUACCACUGAAAAUGGCGGCGAAGCCUGCCUUAGCCCAUAUUGCGACAGAAACCAAACACUUCCUCGUCUCAGGAGCAUAAAGAGUUCACUUUAGACCAUGUUUUUUCCAUUUUCAAGUUGAACGAUGAAUCUUCAAUGCCCAAGAUUUCAGUCUUUUCAUUCCCACCCAUAUAGUUAUGCUAAUCCCUAGGGGCAACAUGCUUGAAAUUUAUAUUUCCAUUCUUGGUAUUUGACACAUGAGCAGUGGACCUAGAGUCAAAACACCAAGACCCUACUUUAGGGUUAGCUAACAUAGUCUCAAUAACCACACAAGCAUGCUCCCUAUCGUCCUUAGGAUUCACAUUCUUGGGUGCUCUGCAAUACUUUGUAAUGUGCCCAAAUUUCUUGUAGCUAGCAUUGAGUAAUCUUAAAAUCCUUCUUCUUCUUAGACCCAUUAUACUCUUUUUCAUUCUCAUUCAUUUUGUUCUUAUCCUUUCCUUUGCCUUUCUUUUUCUUGAAUGAACCAGAGAUGGGUUUAAGGUUCACCAAAUUUAUGGAGUCAUUAAAGGAUGAAGCAUCACGAGAUAAUCUCCUUUCUUCCUCAACUUAAGUUUGGUGAUGAUCUCGUCUAACUUCGGUAUGGUCUCCCUUGCAAUAUGGCCAGAAAUGAAGUUUUGCCAUGAGCUCAGCAUAGAAUUCAGCAACUGGCAGAUUUGCAUGCUUUCAUCUAGCUUAACAUGUGCAGCCUCGUUCACGAACUAAAGCUCUAAACUAUUGUAUAAGCCCAGUAAACUUGCCUCUUUCAUUUACAAAUCUGAAUAUUGUUUCAUAGCCAUUGUCUUCCUAGUGAGCGAAGCUGAGGCAUAAUCGGUCUCAAAUCGUUCAUGAAUCUCCUUCACAGCUUUGAAGUGCUCAUAUUCAAGAGCAUGGGUGUCAUCCAUGGCCAUAAGUAGCACAUCCUUUGCACAUGGGUGUCAUCCAUCGCCAUAAGUAGCACAUGCUUUGCUAGAGUGUUUUUGCGCUCCCACUGAGCAUAAGCUUCUCUUAUAACUGCCUUUCACAAGUGUUUCUUCUUGGGAUAGGUGGGGCCUCAUCAAGAAGUAUUUGGCUAAGUUCCUCUUCAAAGAGGACAUAGCCUAUUUUACUCUUCCAACUAGAAUAGUUCUUCCCAUCAAAUCUUUCAAACUUCAUAAAUUCUGCUAAGAAACUUUUUGAAGUCAUUUUUCUUAGACCAAAUAAAAAUAAAACUCCUAAAUUGCCGUAAAAUAUAGAGUCUCCGAUACCAAUGAAAAGUGUGGCUAUGUGGAAAUAAAGAUAUUAUAUUCAACAAGAAGCUUAGAAAUAGAAAGACCAGAUAUAUGAAAAGAAGAUAACUCUCAAGCAUGAAGAUUGGAGAGAAGGUAAAGAAACCUUGUAAUUUAUUUCAAAUCGAUAGUUUUAUUGAAAUUUUCAGUUUUUUGUUUCGUGGUAAAGUUUACUCCUUGAGAAUUAGACAUUAUCCACAUGGGACAUAGUUAUUGGAGUGUGAACCCAAAAGGCCCAGAGAAGAAUGUCUCCAAAUGAAUGAUGUUACAAUCAGAGAAACUUGAGCAGAGUUCUCAUUGAUUAGAAUUUGGGAAUAAUCCCAUAACAUAUGGUUGGGUUGUACAAAGUACAUAAAUACCCCUCAUACAGUUUUGUGAGAAAACUACCUCAAACUAAUUAAAAAAUUAAACAGACUAAAAAAAAAUUACACAGACUAAAGUAAGACUAACAUACAUCUCAACAUCCCCUAAGAAACUGAAACAUCAGAGAAAAAUACACUACAAACAUACAUCUCAAGACCUCCCUCAAACGGGCAUAUGAAUAGCACUCAGCAACAGUUUUCUCACUACGAUACUAAAGAUGUUGUUUACUAAGAACUCUGGUAAGUAUGUCAGCAAAUAUAAAGGAGAGCAAGAAGGCUACGAGUAAAUCAUUCUCGAAUGGAAUGAAAUUCAGCCUAAAUAGGCUUGGUCCGAUCAUGAAAUAAAGCAUUGGUAGCAAUCCUGAUCGCAUUCAUAUUAUCCCCACAGAGAGGUGUACAUGAUGGAGGAAGGACAGUAAAAUAAGAGAGAAGCAUGUGAAUCUAGAGAUUUCAUCAAAUGUAAAUAUCAGCACAAUACUUGGCUUUGAAAAUUGAUUUGGUAUCCAUAUCUUGUUCCUGCAUGGUAAGGAAACCAGUGAAUAACCAAGCAAAAUACAGUACCAUGUUGUCAAUCUACAAGUGUCUUAACAAAUUCAGUAGAGGCCAACAAUCAGAGGAUGCUAGGAAAAAGAGACCACGAUCAAGUGUAGAGCAAAUAUAUCGAAUGAUGUGAUGAACAAAACCAUAUGAGUUGAGCUAGGAGCCAAUAGAAUGAACUGCAAAAUCCAGUAUAAUAAUGAGAUACCGCAGUCCAGAAACUAGUUGCGAGUAUGGAUUUGGAUCAGGUAAUGGGUCGCCCAUCGAAUGAAGGAAACAGAACAUUAGGUUUUCCUGGGGUACUUAGGAUAUUAGUGUUAGUAAUGGCUUGGGAGAUAAGAUUACAAGCAUACUUGCACUUAGUAACAAUGAUCCCCCAUGUACACUGAGUAAUCUCUAUUCCAAGAAAAUAUGAUAAGUCCCCUGUAUGUCACUUGCAACUGCUGCUGUAAAAUGUUUCACAUGAGGUUGAGGGAUGUGAUCAACAUAGAGAAGAAAUCUGCCUUCCCAUCUAAAUUAUGCACAAAUAAGGACAGGUCUGCAAUGCAAGAAAUAAGAGAUGCAGAAAGAGAGAGAACACAAGGUAGGGCUGCAAGUACAAUUCCACAUUGUUUAUUUGUGAAGUGACAAAUCACACUAUAACUUACAUAUUACAACUUAGGGCACAAUAUCACAUUAAUACCCUUUACAUGUAUAAACAAUGAUAGCCCUUACAUGUACAACACAUGACUUUACAUUAAACUGAACAUUACAGAAAUACCCCUGCACAUCAAUUCUUAACACAAGAA
This 9731-nucleotide long non-coding RNA is filed under the name Amborella trichopoda. Its description in RNAcentral is "long non-coding RNA (ATRI_LNC004003)". Lineage: Eukaryota; Viridiplantae; Streptophyta; Magnoliopsida; Amborellales; Amborellaceae. The record is from RNAcentral.